RNAcentral lists this ribosomal RNA (810 nucleotides) under uncultured bacterium. RNAcentral's name for it is "bacterial SSU rRNA". It matches the Rfam family "Bacterial small subunit ribosomal RNA", at positions 58 to 916 of the family's 1533-position model. The record is from RNAcentral.
CAAGUCGAACGAAGUAGCAAUACUUAGUGGCAGACGGGUGAGUAACAUGUAGGUAUCUGCCCUUUGGCCUGGAAUAACACGAGGAAACUUGUGCUAAUACCGGAUAAGUCUUCACGGAGAAAGCUUUAUGCACCAUUGGAUGAGCCUGCACUUGAUUAGUUUGUUGGUGGGGUAAUGGCCUACCAAGACUUUGAUCAAUAGCUGAUUUGAGAGGAUGAUCAGCCACAUUGGGACUGAGACACGGCCCAAACUCCUACGGGAGGCAGCAGUGGGGAAUCUUGCACAAUGGAGGAAACUCUGAUGCAGCGAUGCCGCGUGAGUGAAGAAGGCCUUUGGGUUGUAAAGCUCUUUCGUCGGGGAAGAAAAUGACUGUACCCGAAUAAGAAGGUCCGGCUAACUUCGUGCCAGCAGCCGCGGUAAUACGAAGGGACCUAGCGUAGUUCGGAAUUACUGGGCUUAAAGAGUUCGUAGGUGGUUGAAAAAGUUGGUGGUGAAAUCCCAGAGCUUAACUCUGGAACUGCCAUCAAAACUUUUCAGCUAGAGUUUGAUAGAGGAAAGCAGAAUUUCUAGUGUAGAGGUGAAAUUCGUAGAUAUUAGAAAGAAUACCAAAUGCGAAGGCAGCUUUCUGGAUCAUUACUGACACUGAGGAACGAAAGCAUGGGUAGCGAAGAGGAUUAGAUACCCUCGUAGUCCAUGCCGUAAACGAUGUGUGUUAGACGUUGGAAAUUUAUUUUCAGUGUCGCAGCGAAAGCAAUAAACACACCGCCUGGGGAGUACGACCGCAAGGUUAAAACUCAAAUGAAUUGACGG